Molecule: ribosomal RNA, 468 nt
Filed under: uncultured bacterium
Lineage: Bacteria
Description: partial 16S ribosomal RNA
Rfam family: Bacterial small subunit ribosomal RNA
Source: RNAcentral
GACGAACGCUGGCGGCGUGCUUAACACAUGCAAGUCGAACGGAAAGGCCCUGCUUUUGUGGGGCGCUCGAGUGGCGAACGGGUGUGAAACACGUGUGUAUCCCGCCCUUGAUUUUGGGAUAACUUCAGGAAACUGGGGAUCAUACAGGAUAGGAGAUUCUGCUGCAUGGUGGGGGUAGGAAAGUUUCGGCGGUUGGGGACGGACUCGCGGCUUAUCAGCUUGUUGGUGGGGUAGUGGCUUACCAAGGCACUGACGGGUAGCCGGCCUGAGAGGGUGACCGGCCACAUUGGGACUGAGAUACGGCCCAGACUCCUACGGGAGGCAGCAGUGGGGAAUAUUGCACAAUGGGCGGAAGCCUGAUGCAGCAACGCCGCGUGCGGGAUGACGGCCUUCGGGUUGUAAACCGCUUUCGCCUGGGACGAAGCGUGUGUGACGGUAACGUAGAAAGAAGCACCGGCUAACUACGUG